RNAcentral lists this ribosomal RNA (235 nucleotides) under uncultured Actinomycetales bacterium. RNAcentral's name for it is "partial 16S ribosomal RNA". It matches the Rfam family "Bacterial small subunit ribosomal RNA", at positions 96 to 334 of the family's 1533-position model. The record is from RNAcentral. Lineage: Bacteria; Bacillati; Actinomycetota; Actinomycetes; Actinomycetales.
UGGCGAACGGGUGAGUAACACGUGGGUGAUCUGCCCUGCACUCUGGGAUAAGCCUGGGAAACUGGGUCUAAUACCGGAUAGGACCAUGCUUUAGUGUGUGUGGUGGAAAGUUUUUUCGGUGUAGGAUGAGCCCGCGGCCUAUCAGCUUGUUGGUGGGGUAAUGGCCUACCAAGGCGGCGACGGGUAGCCGGACUGAGAGGUUGGUCGGCCGCAUUGGGACUGAGAUACGGCCCAG